Molecule: long non-coding RNA, 1283 nt
Organism: Bos indicus x Bos taurus (hybrid cattle)
Lineage: Eukaryota; Metazoa; Chordata; Mammalia; Artiodactyla; Bovidae
Source: Ensembl
CCGACUCUCCCCAAAGUUCAAGUGGGGAGGUGUGGAAGGGCUGGAAGGACAGUGCCCACCUGGGGGGGGGUGGGGGUGAGGACAGUGUGGGGACAGUAGGAGCCCCACGGGCGGAGCGUGUGCCGAAAGCACGUGCUUGGAGUGGAGGUUUCUGGCUGCCAGGGCGGGUCUGCCAGGUGGCUCCAAGGAUGGUUCAGGGUGUGAGGCUCCCCAAAGCAUCAGGAGUGCUUUGGACCAGGGAUGGUGAGGGCAGUCAGGGGCCCCAGCCGGACCUUCCUGGGCAUUUGAGUGAGAAGAUCUGGAGAGCAGGUAAGGACAGGGUGAGCCUUGUGAACUGGGGUCCACAGAAGCUCCCUGCAGGAGUGAGGAGGCACAGGGGGUUGCAGGGUCUCUGAAUCGUGUCCUCCACCUGGCUGCCACCUCCUGCAGGAAAGCACCCCUGACUGCUUCUCAGGCCCUGGUCUCCCCCAUCCCAGCCCUGGAUCCAGGCCGAGCCACCAGGGCCUGGAAAAUCCUGAGUAUGUGCCCCAGCGUGGCUCAGGCUGCUAAGCUGGACCUGGCGGCCCCAGAGAGACAGCGAUGCUUUCCCCACUUCCGCUCUAGGUGUGGCCCCCACCUGUCUGGCCCUGUGAACAAUGUAGGCCGCUGAUGAGGAGCCUGGGGCCUGAGCCCCGGCUCCCAGGCCCAGGAAGGCCCCUGGCCCCACUGACCCGGUCGGGGAGGCUGCCACUGACACGGUCUUUGUCUCAGCCUUUGUGGGACAAGACGGAUGGCCCUCCGGCCGGGCCGAUGCUAUCUCGGGGCUGCCGGUGGGACGUGAGGUGGGAGCCAUCCCCUCCUUUGUGGGCAGGUGCGUGGCAUCCGGCCCAUUGUGGGCUGCAGCUGACUGUCCGCUGUCCAUCCAGGCUUAUCACCAGAUCUGGGAUAGCGGCCCCUUCUGCACAAAGAAAUGCCCCCUGCCCCCCAGGGAGUGGCCCGGAGCCCUGGUGGGGGUCAGAGAGUAUCCAAGGCCUCCCUGCCCUGCAUCCUGGCCUACUCUGCCCAGACACGUGGCGCACCACCCCGGGCCGCCCCGACGCUCAAGCCACAUCCUGGCGACUGGAGGACGACCGAGGGGGUGCCUAGAGCGCUGAGUCCCUGCGAGGCCAGGCGGCGGCCCAGCCGGACACAGCCCUGAGAAGCGCGCGGAACCUCGGUGUUUUCGUCCCUGAAAAGGGCAGAUGCCACGGCCGGUCCUCCCCGGAGCGCGGCCUCAGCCCGGCAGCAGAGGGCGCUCGCGACCC